This 356-nucleotide long non-coding RNA is filed under the name Mytilus galloprovincialis (Mediterranean mussel). Lineage: Eukaryota; Metazoa; Mollusca; Bivalvia; Mytilida; Mytilidae. The record is from RNAcentral.
AUGUUUGUUGUCUUAUUUUAGUUUUAUAUUCUCUGACCUACGUUUACCAACAACCAUCACGAAAUUUUAUGAAUUUCUUUUUCUUUCGGGGCGGGGAUGUUAUAUACUUGAUUUGUAUAUGGUUGUUGGAAACGUAGUUCAGUACGUAUCAUACCGGAAUCACAGGGGUGCUCCGGGAUGAUGUUUGUAAAUAGUAUAAUCAUCUAUAUAUCCUCCGUAUCAUAUUACAUUAGCAUGCCUUCUUUUUCUCUUUACCACCGCAUGUUAAGGUAGUCACACACAAAUAUAUUGAGAGCAGUAAAAUUAGUUUUUAGAAACGAUUUCGUCCUUUAUUAGUCCCCCAAGGACGUUGAACU